GCAUACGAUAACAAUAUAGACAUAUGAUUGGGCUGGUUGUCAAGAUAAAUAAGGGGACGUAUGUCAUACGAAUUGCAUACUCACAUCUAAGAUCUUAGAAUUUGUCUUCUUACCUAAUGACAUAAAAUAUUUAACUCACGAACUGAAAUUUCAAACUUUAAGUGCAGUAGGGUUAUAAAGAUGACUAUUGACCAAGUUUAUCAAUAUAUAGUUUAUUGAUUGAAUUACCUCUCCACAACUAACAGAAGUUAAAAAAUUUGACAGAAAUUGAGGAUUGUCCUUGAAUUGCUUCAAAUUGAAACCAUGGGGACAAAAUUGAUAAAAUUAAAAUGACAAAGACCAAAGUGGUAAAAAUGGCAAACUAUAGGGACCAAAAGUGACUUUUUCCUGAAAAUUGAAACUCAUACAAUUUUAUUUUUUUUUAUUUUUUAUUUUUUUGCAGUCAUACCUCAUACAAUUGUUUAGUCUUUAAAUUUAUUAAAUUAAAUUUAAGGCUUAUUUACACCAAUUCCCCCAUGAAACUACGGUCAAAUCUCACUUUGCCCCUCCAAACUUAAAGUGUCCCACUUACCCCGCUUGACUGUGGUUUAGUGUCCCACUUUGCCCUUUGCCGUC
This 615-nucleotide long non-coding RNA is filed under the name Prunus persica (peach). Its description in RNAcentral is "long non-coding RNA (PPER_LNC000542)". The record is from RNAcentral. Lineage: Eukaryota; Viridiplantae; Streptophyta; Magnoliopsida; Rosales; Rosaceae.